AUGGUGACAAUGCUGGUGCUGUUGCGACCUCUUCUACUCAUCCUAUACUCCAACUCGUAUGUGCAGCGUGAACCUUCGGCUCUAUCCCACAUGCGCCCUCGCCACCAGCACGCAUGCUCCGGCAGCGCUAGGACGGAGAAGGCGGAGCCGUGGCACAUGAAGCUGCGGUCGGUGGUCCCUGAGGAGUGCAUGGUUGUGCGGGACAUCCACACAGGGGAGCCGGGGCGCUUUCACAGCGCGUGCUGGCGGAGUUCAUGCUAA
This 261-nucleotide ribosomal RNA is filed under the name Triticum aestivum (bread wheat). RNAcentral describes it as "partial small subunit ribosomal RNA". Lineage: Eukaryota; Viridiplantae; Streptophyta; Magnoliopsida; Poales; Poaceae. The record is from RNAcentral.